Molecule: ribosomal RNA, 468 nt
Filed under: uncultured bacterium
Lineage: Bacteria
Description: partial 16S ribosomal RNA
Rfam family: Bacterial small subunit ribosomal RNA
Source: RNAcentral
GACGAACGCUGGCGGCGUGCUUAACACAUGCAAGUCGAACGGAAAGGCCCUGCUUUUGUGGGGUGCUCGAGUGGCGAACGGGUGAGUAACACGUGAGUAACCUGCCCUUGACUUUGGGAUAACUUCAGGAAACUGGGGCUAAUACCGGAUAGGAGCUCCUGCUGCAUGGUGGGGGUUGGAAAGUUUCGGCGGGUGGGGAUGGACUCGCGGCUUAUCAGCUUGUUGGUGGGGUAGGGGCUUACCAAGGCGUUGACGGGUAGCCGGCAUGAGAGGGUGAACGGCCACCUUGGGACUGAGAUACGGACCAGACUCCUAUGGGAGGCAGCAGUGGGGAAUAUUGUCCAAUGGGCGGAAGCCUGAUGCAGCAACGCCGCGUGCGGGAUGACGGCCUUCGGGUUGUAAACCGCUUUCGCCUGUGACGAAGCGUGAGUGACGGUAAUGGGUAAAGAAGCACCGGCUAACUACGUG